CAAGGCGAUGAUCAGUAGCCGGUCUGAGAGGAUGAACGGCCACAUUGGGACUGAGACACGGCCCAGACUCCGUACGGGAGGCAGCAGUGGGGAAUCUUCCGCAAUGGACGAAAGUCUGACGGAGCAACGCCGCGUGAGUGAAGAAGGUCUUCGGAUGUAAAGCUCUGUUAUACGGGACGAAAAAGACGGAUGCCAACAGUAUCCGUCCGUGACGGUACCGUAAGAGAAAGCCACGGGCUAACUACGUGCCAGCAGCCGCGGUAAAU
RNAcentral lists this ribosomal RNA (266 nucleotides) under uncultured Megasphaera sp. RNAcentral describes it as "partial 16S ribosomal RNA". It matches the Rfam family "Bacterial small subunit ribosomal RNA", at positions 269 to 525 of the family's 1533-position model. Lineage: Bacteria; Bacillati; Bacillota; Negativicutes; Veillonellales; Veillonellaceae. The record is from RNAcentral.